Quercus robur (English oak) is the source of this 794-nucleotide long non-coding RNA. RefSeq lists it as uncharacterized. The transcript is spliced from 2 exons. The record is from RefSeq and is a predicted model, not a curated record. NCBI's taxonomy places the organism in Eukaryota, Viridiplantae, Streptophyta, Magnoliopsida, Fagales, Fagaceae.
UUCUUAUUUUUUUCAUGUGUUCCCCCUUUUUAGUCUUCUUUCAGUUAUAUUUUACUUGUCAAGAGUUUUAUAACUCAAUUGAUAUUUUUUUAUGUUUCCAAUUGAAAUAUUUAAGAGUUCAAUUGUCAAUUUUCCAUAGUAACUAUUGAUUUUUAUUUGUUUAAAUAUACUACUUCAUUUUGUCUUGUUCCAGUGAGUUUAAUAGUCCAUUUUACAAGUUUCUACUUGAAUGUAUGGUCUAUAAAUAAGACCAGGAUAGAGAAGCUUAGAAUCACUGACUCUCAAAAUGAAGGCCAUUCUCAUUGUUUGCCUUCUCUUGACUUCCAUAUUUUUCAUUCCUUCUUCAAAUGCAGCAGAAAGAAAGUGUGAACCAUAUCGACGAUCAUGUCGGUCGAACCCGCCAAAUUUGCCCUUGAAGCCACCAGCUCCGCCUCUGAAGCCACCAACUCCGCCUUUGAAGCCACCAACUCCGCCAACGCCAGGUCCACCCUAUAGGAAGCCAACUCCGCCAUCGCCAGGUCCACCCUAUAGGAAGAAGCCAACUCCGCCAUCUGGAUGUAGUCGUACCCCAUAUAGACGUUGCGCACCUCCAACCCCUUAACAAAUGAAGCACCACGGUUCAACAAUAAUCAAGCAUUAGGUUGCUUAUUAUCGUGGAGGGCAGUAUUUAUUAAGAAUAAAGUGGGUUUUAAUUAUGCGAUAAUAUCAUAUAUAUGUGGUAUUAUGCACUCCAUGCUAGUGUAUUGUAAAUGUGUCCAAAAUAAAAAGUUGACUAAAGUUUGUCUGUUGACUUA